This 1988-nucleotide long non-coding RNA is filed under the name Linum usitatissimum (flax). RNAcentral describes it as "long non-coding RNA (LUSI_LNC002553)". Lineage: Eukaryota; Viridiplantae; Streptophyta; Magnoliopsida; Malpighiales; Linaceae. The record is from RNAcentral.
UUUUCGCGAAACUUUUGUGUUAUUUGUAACUUCAAAUUCAAAACCCAUUACAAAACUUCUAAACAGUCAGUUCAUCCAGCAUUACAGUUCAGCAUUACAGAACUUCUAAAACAACAUUACAGUAGCAUUACAAACUACAAAUCGUAACCCAACUAUAGUUUAGCAUUACAGCAUUAGCCAUUGCAGCAUUAUAGCAUUAGCCAUUGCAGCAUUACAGUUCUUGCCACAAGUAGACAAAAGAUCCAUAAGUCGACAAAAGAUCCAUAAUUAGACAAAAGAUCUACAAUAUCCAAUAAUUCUAGAACUUGAAACAACAUUACAGUUCUUGCCAAUAAUUCUCCAACUCUGCACCAAAUAGUGAAAUACACCACCAACAUAUUAGAAAGACACUCUUCAUCCAACUCUGACCAACAAGCAUCCAACUCUACCUGACAACAAUUUCAUUGAAGUAUAUUCUUCAGAUAAGCAAAUAUAGAUGAACACACUCUACAUAAUCUCUUAUUCAACAACGAGACAAAUAACAGUUUCAUAGAAGUACUAACUAACUAGCAGUAAGAGAACCUUAAGAGGUAAUGGUAUUACAAGGGCAGUACCUGAUUUACAUGGUUCUUCAUUCUUGUUCAGACUCAACAUAUUCGUCUUCACCCUCUUCAUCUUCACCAUUUUCACCUUCAUCGUUUUCAUCUUCAUCAAUAGAUCCCACAAUCACACUAGCACUCAUAGAUGUUACCUUCACCUUCACCUUCGUUCACACACAUUCGGUGGAAGGAUGCAUAUAGUACUUGGAAGUACAUAAAAUUAGUCACGGUUAAUAUCAAACAAUCAUUAUACAAACAGUGAAAAGAAUAAUGUAUACCAUUCUCAAACUCUAUUUGCUCUUCCAAGUCUUCUUCGACCAUCACCAGCUUCGAAUCAUCAGACUUAAUGCCUCGAAAAUAUUUGGAGUAAGCGAGGUCUGAAAUGAAUCUAAAAUACGGCCAACAACGAAUCGAAACUGGUCUUAGUAGAGCUGUAUUCGAAGAAUCAGCAGCCGCACCUGUACAAAUCGAUGAUGCCCACUGUUACGCAGAGAAAUAAGAAACAAUCAAAACCUCAUAAUAGAACCCGUAGUGGGUUGGAGAUGUAUUCUCACCUGUCACCAAAUUCCAGAAUGAUGAGGGAAUCGUGGGGAAUUACCGUCGAGAACCCGGUCGCUGUCGAGGGAAACGUCGGGAAUCGCCGUAGCAGAAGAAGAAGAAGAAGUUGAGCGCCGUUGUCGUUGUUUUCUAAACUCUGGAAUCGUCGUUGUAACUCUGGAAUCGCCGAGAAGUUGAGGGAAUCGCCGUUGCCCAUUGGAAGAGGUAGUGAGGAACCCUAAUUGCCGUCGCCCAUCGGAAGAAGAAGUGAGGAACUCUGGAAUCGCCGAUUCACCAUCGCCGUCGAAUCGUUGUUGUCUAAACUUUUGUCAAAAAAACGCAUUAAGUGACCCUCACCUCAUUGAAAGGAAUACUGAUAAGUGAUGAGUCAUAAAUGAUAAAUGGUAAUUAACUUUGGGAUUUUGGAAAUCCCGGAAAACCGAACCCGAAAUAUUACUUCCCGAACCAAACCCGAUGUCCCCAUUCCUCUUGAUCCUGUUGGCCAACGAUCUAAAAAACACCAUCAAUUCUCAAGAAAUCCGAAUAAAGCUCAAUGGAAUCUCCAUUUCUAGGAGGGGCCCUCAUAUCACUCAUUGGCUGUUUGCAGAUGAUACAUCAUCUUUGGGAACGCAUCGGUUGAAGAAGCGUUGACAAUUCAGGGCAUCAUUACCAGCAACUGCGAUAUGUCAAGCAAAGAGCGUAACCAUGAGAAGUCUUCACUCUUCUUUAGUGCUAACACCCCAUCCAGCAUAAGAUAUAACAUCUCUUAUACGCUUGGGAUCCCCCUCACUCAGCAAAAGUCUUCCUACCUAGGGAUUCCAACAGAUUGGGAAGAUCCAAAAAGGAAGCCUUCAACUAUCUCAUUGAUAGACU